GAUCCUGGCUCAGGAUGAACGCUGGCGGCGUGCUUAACACAUGCAAGUCGAACGGAACUACUUUGAUGAGAUUCUUCGGAAAGGAUUUGAUUUAGUUUAGUGGCGGACGGGUGAGUAACGCGUGGGUAACCUGCCUCAUACAGGGGGAUAACAGUUGGAAACGGCUGUUAAUACCGCAUAAGCGCACAGUACCGCAUGGUACCNGUGAACAACCGUCGGUGU
Molecule: ribosomal RNA, 222 nt
Filed under: uncultured bacterium
Lineage: Bacteria
Description: partial 16S ribosomal RNA
Rfam family: Bacterial small subunit ribosomal RNA
Source: RNAcentral